Molecule: long non-coding RNA, 409 nt
Organism: Oncorhynchus tshawytscha (Chinook salmon)
Lineage: Eukaryota; Metazoa; Chordata; Actinopteri; Salmoniformes; Salmonidae
Source: Ensembl
GGGCAUAGGUGUGGGGCUGGGGUGUAGGUGUUAGGCUGGGGAAUAGGCCUGCGGUAUAGGUAUAAGGCUGGGGUAUAGGUAUAAGGCUGGGGUAUAGGUAUAAGGCUGGGGGUUAGGUAUAAGGCUGGGGUAAAGGUAUAAGGCUGGGGUAUAGGUAUAAGGCUGGGGUAUAGGUAUAAGGCUGGGGUAAAGGUAUAAGGCUGGGGUAUAGGUAUAAGGCUGGGGUAUAGGUAUAAGGCUGGGGUAUAGGUAUAAGGCUGGGGUAUAGGUAUAAGGCUGGGGUAUAGGGCUGAGGUAUAGGUACAGGGCUGGGGUAUAGGUAUAGGGCUGGGUGCAUGGCUGGGAUAUAGGUAAAGGGCUGGGCUUUAGGUAUUGGGCUGGGGUAUAUGGCUAAUGGUAUAGGGCUGGG